GUGGGGAAUCUUAGACAAUGGGGGAAACCCUGAUCUAGCCAUGCCGCGUGAUCGAUGAAGGCCUUCGGGUCGUAAAGCUCUGUCAUCGGGGACGAAUGGUCGAUGGAGUGGAAAGCCAUUGAAAUGACGGUACCCGAGAAGGAAGCCACGGCUAACUACGUGCCAGCAGCCGCGGUAAUACGUAGGUGGCAAGCGUUGUCCGGAAUUAUUGGGCGUAAAGCGCGCGCAGGUGGGAGCUUAAGUCUAUUUUGAAAGUUCGGAGCUUAACUCCGUGAUGAGAUAGUAACUGGGAUUCUUGAGUACCGGAGAGGAAAGCGGAAUUCCCCGUGUAGCGGUGAAAUGCGUAGAUAUGGGGAGGAACACCAGUGGCGAAGGCGGCUUUCUGGACGGUGUCUGACACUGAGGCGCGAAAGCCAGGGGAGCGAACGGGAUUAGAUACCCGAGUAGUCC
Molecule: ribosomal RNA, 450 nt
Filed under: uncultured bacterium
Lineage: Bacteria
Description: partial 16S ribosomal RNA
Rfam family: Bacterial small subunit ribosomal RNA
Source: RNAcentral